GCAGGUGAACACUGCACGUCUCAUUGGUGCGUAAUGAUGACUGACCUUCAUGGGCUACUUGACGUGUUGUGUUGCCAAUAUGUAAUAUAGAAUGAUGAAACACGUUUGGUUGCCUUCUAGAGUGGCUUAGGAUUGCACAGAAACCGAACUUGACCGGGUAAAAAAAAAAAAUAUUCCCGAUUAGAUUUUGUUUCAAGUUGAAAGAGUUGGAAUUCAUGCAAAACACUGUAUAAUACAUGGAUCAUGUUUGAAUAUAGACAAUUGUGAGCUGGGAAUUCUGUCUGUUUUAUUUCAGACCAGAACUUUACAACCUCUGGGUAUCAGACAGAUAAAGAUCAUUGGAAUUUAUGAACAUUGAUUACAACAUGACUUAACACUCCUAGACCCAAUGACCUACAGUAGUCCUAUUUACUAUAGGCUCCUAGACCCAAUGAUCUACAGUAGUCCUAUUUACUAUAGGCUCCUAGACCCAAUGAUCUACAGUAGUCCUAUUUACUAUAGGCUCCUAGACCCAAUGAUCUACAGUAGUCCUAUUUACUAUAGGCUCCGAGACCCAAUGACCUACAGUAGUCCUAUUUACUACAGGCUCCGAGACCCAAUGACCUACAGUAGUCCUAUUUCCUGUAGGCUCCUAGACCCAAUGACCUACAGUAGUCCUAUUUACUGUAGGCUCCUAGACCCAAUGACCUACAGUAGUCCUAUUUCCUGUAGGCUCCUAGACCCAAUGACCUACAGUAGUCCUAUUUACUAUAGCCUCCUAGACCCAAUGACCUACAGUAGUCCUAUUUCCUGUAGCCUCCUAGACCCAUUGAUCUACAUUAGUUAGUUAGUGUAUGUAAAGCCUUACCCACAACAUUGGACUUUCCUUGUAGUCUGAAAUAAACAAAUCUAAAUUAUAGCAAAAUAAAACCGUACAAAAUAUAUCUCCAUUUACUUUAUUAAAGCAAAUUCCUUCACUUGUGUCUUAUUUACAACAAAUCCCACACACAGCAUUGUCGAUUCCAACUGACAGAGAGUUUUGGGGUUUCUCAUGUCUCAGUACUCAUCUCUGAGAGGUUAGGGAGAGGGUCUCAGUACUCAUCUCUGAGAGGUUAGGGAGAGGGUCUCAGUACUCAUCUCUGAGAGGUUAGGGAGAGGGUCUCAGUACUCAUCUCUGAGAGGUUAGGGAGAAGGUCUCAGUACUCAUCUCUGAGAGGUUAGGGAGAGGGUCUCAGUACUCAUCUCAGAGAGGUUAUGGAGAGGGUCUCAGUACUCAUCUCAGAGAGAAGGUCUCAGUACUCAUCUCAGAGAGAGGUUAGGGAGAGGGUCUCAGUACUCAUCUCAGAGAGGUUAGGGAGAGGGUCUCAGUACACAUCUCUGAGAGGUUAGGGAGAGGGUCUCAGUACUCAUCUCAGAGAGAGGUUAGGGAGAGGGUCUCAGUACUCAUCUCUGAGAGGUUAGGGAGAGGGUCUCAGUACUCAUCUCAGAGAAGUUAGGGAGAGGGUCUCAGUACUCAUCUCAGAGAGAAGGUCUCAGUACUCAUCUCUGAGAGGUUAGGAAGAGGGUCUUUACAUUUUUUUUAAAAUUA
Molecule: long non-coding RNA, 1567 nt
Organism: Oncorhynchus keta (chum salmon)
Lineage: Eukaryota; Metazoa; Chordata; Actinopteri; Salmoniformes; Salmonidae
Exons: 5
Source: RefSeq, a predicted model, not a curated record